Molecule: long non-coding RNA, 2473 nt
Filed under: Sus scrofa (pig)
Lineage: Eukaryota; Metazoa; Chordata; Mammalia; Artiodactyla; Suidae
Description: lncRNA (ENSSSCG00045029370.1)
Source: RNAcentral
GUUUCGGGUCGUAGUUUGCUCUGGGAGCCCGCGAGGCUCUGGGGCGGGCCGUUGACCUGUUCUCGCUCUCAGCCCGAGCUCCUGGUUCGGUGCCGCGCGCCGGGCGUCAGUGUAGGACAGAUGCACAUAGGCCAAGGACAAAAGCACGUCUACUGGCAACCGCAGCACUGCAGAGAAGUGCGGCUAAAACAGCGCUGGGGGGGCUCUGCCCCUUCUGCUGGCGGCUCCGCGGCGGAGGGCCGGUGGCUGCGGAGACGCCGUCCUUACCCCACGACCGGGAAGCAGAUGCUACACCGCGCGGCAGCGUUGGUGCUGGUGAGGAGGAUCGCGUGCAUGCUGUUUUCUUUGCCCUCUUAAUUUUCUCAGUGAAACACAAAACACAGUAAGAAUAGCACCGAGGAGAAUUUUGGGGACACAGUGAACAUUCAUAAAUACAAAUGUUUUUGUUAAUCUAACAAAGGCCCGCGCUGUAUCACGUGCCACGAAGGAGCCGAGGUGCUGGACAGGGAGGUGCUGCCUGUUCUGUAGGCUGCUGCCCCUAAGCGAGCCGCCCUUGGGAGCUCUGUCCUGGCUCUGCUUCAGCACUGCUUGACCUCCCGUCUUCUCCGCAGGAUGGGCCCUGGAGCCUGCAGUAUCCCAAGUGGAGUGCUGCCUGCAUGUCACACGUGAAGCAUCUACAGAUACAUGAGCAGUAACUCUCUGACCAGGACGGAAUGACCUCUCCAUGGGCACCGGUGGACACGCCGGUGAUAGGAUCCCCACUUAAAUCUCCGUGGCCCUCCAGGGACCUCCUCAAAGACUGGAGAUGGCUCUGGACCCAGGAUUUUCUGGGCUACCUCACGCAAAUGGUGUUCUCACGUGUGCACAGCUCCGGAGUUCCGAUUUUCCAAAGGUGACCCAACCAUCACAUCAUGAAAGCCAUCCACCCUGACGGAUCAAAGAGUUGCAAACGCUGAAUGAAACCAAGCAUCUCUGACACCCUGGGGGCCUUCUGGAAAUCGGUGCCGGCUCCCAAGGCCCUUUGUGACAGGAAACAGGCAGACUCCUCCUCUUUCAGGUCGUUCACGUACACUGGUGCACCUGCCAACGCACACCUGUACUGAUGUCUUUAUCCACAGCGCCUGAACCCAGCACGCUACCCAAACAGGAGCUAAUCUGGUCGCCUCCGUGAGCCUGAAUGACUGCAGGUGGCCACUCUCGUUAGCACCCUUUGUCCGAGCAGCGCCAGCAGCAGGAGCUGAAGCCACAGAGUAACCCAAAGGGCGUGCUGUCUGCGGGCUUCCAGCAUGUUCCGGUGGGACUCUGACGUCGAGCUGUGCCGGUGAGAAGCUUCAGGUGCGGUCUAAUGGAAAGCGAGUCAGCUCAGUCCCCACCGUCAAGUUUACCUGGGGCUCCCGUGGGGACCUAGGCACCUCAAGUCCAAGGGGGACGCCCGGACCUCCUCGUUCGUGGGUGUUCCUCUCUUUCUACCGCAUGAGAGGCGCUUGGCUUUUAUUGUUUCUCUUCCUUUUUGGCCUCCCCACGGAGUUCCAGAGCCAGGCACUGAAUCUAAGCUGCAGCGGAGACCAACUCUGCACGUGCGGCAAUGAUGGCUCCGUGACCACUGUGCUGGGCCGGGGAUUGAACCUGCAUCCCUGCUGUUGCAGAGACACCAUGGCUCCCUUUGUGCCACAGCAGGAAUCUCCAUCGUCUUUUCUUCUUAAGUUUUAGCCCAGGGCCCUCUGCUGUCUGAGGCCCUUCCACCUUACGACCCUGGGCAACGAGCAUGCUGGUCCUUGUGGUCUGGUUGAGGAGCAGAAACGGCUGUGGUGGGAAGGGGAGCAGAGGCCACGGAUGUCGGAGAGCCUGGACCAGCUGGAGAGUCCUGGCGGCUGGAGGUGCGGCCAGGAGGCCCGGGCCCUGCGGGUCCUGCUGGCGGGCGGAUCUCCCUCCCUCCUGAGCGGUAGGGCUGAGCGCUGGCUGGUGGCGAAACGUGCUCCCUGAGCCCAGAGUCCGCAUCUCCAAACGUUCCUCUUUGCUGAAUUUUGCUGCUCUGACAAAUGGCUCUGCAGCUCCAGGGGCACGAAGCAAAAGCUUAUCUCCUGCUCAGUCCCCGUGGCCCUCUUGCACUGGACGAGGGCCCGAGAAGCCUUGCUCAUCUCUUGUCUCAGCCCAAGAAGCCUACUGUGAGUGGAGCCUGGCAAAGGCAGAUGCUAAGGCCCGUGGCUGCUCUUCCCAAACUGCUGAGAGGGCAGAAGGACACCGCCCAACACAUGGACGGUGUGCAGGAAGCCGCCUUCAUUCCGGAAAGACCACCACCAGACCGCCAGACACCAGCUUGGAAGACAACGCCAGCUCACCAAUCCCCGAUCCUUAUCUGCAGCCCCGUUCUUCUCCCCCAGUCUCUCCUGAGGGGGCAUGGUCUUUGAGGCAUGAGCCUGCUGUAACUCUCCUUUGCCUGGUAAAGCAAUAAAGCUGUUUUUUCUCCUUCGCC